AGUGAACGCUGGCGGUAGGCCUAACACAUGCAAGUCGAACGGCAGCACAGUAAGAGCUUGCUCUUACGGGUGGCGAGUGGCGGGCGGGUGAGGAAUACAUCGGAAUCUACUUUUUCGUGGGGGAUAACGUAGGGAAACUUACGCUAAUACCGCAUACGACCUACGGGUGAAAGCAGGGGAUCUUCGGACCUUGCGCGAUUGAAUGAGCCGAUGUCGGAUUAGCUAGUUGGCGGGGUAAAGGCCCACCAAGGCGACGAUCCGUAGCUGGUCUGAGAGGAUGAUCAGCCACACUGGAACUGAGACACGGUCCAGACUCCUACGGGAGGCAGCAGUGGGGAAUAUUCGACAAUGGGCGCAAGCCUGACCCAGCCAUACCGCGUGGGUGAAGAAGGCCUUCGGGUUGUAAAGCCCUUUUGUUGGGAAAGAAAAGCAGCAGGUUAAUACCCCGCUGUUCUGACGGUACCCAAAGAAUAAGCACCGGCUAACUUCGUG
RNAcentral lists this ribosomal RNA (492 nucleotides) under uncultured bacterium. RNAcentral describes it as "partial 16S ribosomal RNA". It matches the Rfam family "Bacterial small subunit ribosomal RNA", at positions 29 to 507 of the family's 1533-position model. The record is from RNAcentral.